UGCCGUAAGGCAGCCCCUCGCGCCGUCGCGACUCUGCCGUGCGCCGCGGGAGCGGGCGGGGGACAGCCAUGGCGGCUUUACGGCCCGGGAGGAAGACCCUUCUCCCUGUUCUCUGCCGCACCUUCACAGGCCGCGGCUGUCAGCUCGCCCCCGAGCGCGGCACCGAGCGCAGGGAUGUGGCGCCCAGCCGGAUCUCAAGAUUCUGCCCUCCGAGAAAAUCUUGCCAUGAUUGGAUAGGACCCCCAGAUAAAUAUUCAAACCUUCGACCUGUUCACUUUUACAUCCCUGAAAAUGAAUCACCAUUAGAACAAAAGCUGAGAGAAUUAAGACAAGAAACACAAGAAUGGAACCAACAGUUCUGGGCAAACCAGAAUUUGACUUUUCAUAAGGAAAAAGAAGAGUUUAUUCACUCAAGACUAAAAGCUAAAGGCCCGGGACUGAGAGCUGAAUCAGGUCAAAAAGCAACACUGAAUGCAGAAGAAAUGGCUGACUUUUACAAAGAAUUUUUAAGUAAAAAUUUUCGGAAGCACAUGUGUUAUAACAGGUGUCAGCCUCGUGGUACUGAGUGCACUGUCUCAUCCCGUACAGCUGGAGAAGCCCAAUGCAUCUUGUGGGCCCCGGCCCCGGGCCACCUGCUGUUCCAGCUGUACGCUGCCCGCACGCACCUGAAGCUGGCGGGCGGGUAAGUGGGAACAGAUCGUAAUCCACAUUCAUUCAUCCGACAAAUACUGAGUGCCUGUCUGUGCCAGGCACCGGGCUGCGAGACUGAGGAUUUCCUGUUGCUGCCCCUGCAGGGCUUACAGAUGAGCAGGAUUCAAGGUUAGUCGUAGAUUUUAAUUAUAUUCUUUCAACUGCAGAAGCGUCUCCUUCAAAUGUACAGCAAUUCCUUCUAAGUGCUGGUUAAUUAAAGUAUUUUCUUGCUAGUAUCACAAAGAAAGGAAGCAGUACCAUAAAACUGAGAGCCACGUUUCACAGCAGGAGCUUCAGGUUGGGGUGUGCAGACAACAUGCGGGUCCUUCUCAGGGCACUGCCCCCCGCAUCUUCCGUCUGCUCGCUACAGAAGGCGCCUCCCGUACCCCGUCCCCAUCCUGACCUCUCCAGGCCUCAGGUGCAGCCUGCAGCGCCCUUACCCCUGGUCAGCUGGCAGACUUGCUCAUGCUAGAAGGCUUGGCUCCCCAGGGAAACGUCCCAGGAUCUCUGGCCUUCUGGAGCACCAUCCUCCAAAAAGAGGCCCACAACUCGUGGCCUAAGGAACUUGGAGCACUCCAGGAGGACCCGGCCCUCGCCUUUGUUCAGGACAUUGCCCUCAGCCUGCAGGAGCAGCAGAGGGUUUACAGGCCAGUCCUGGAGCUGGCCUGUCACUCGCUCACCUUCCCUGGAAGCACCCUUGAACCUGAGCCUUGGCGAGCUGGGUCAGCCGGGGGUGCUGGUGGACAGCUGGACGGCCGGCCACCUCUUGCCGGAAGGCCCAUCUCCGUGACAUCCUACUUAGGAAGCCUGAAGCCUGUGCAGGGCACCCUCCUUUCAGAGUGGAUGAGCCUCACCUCAGAGAUGCCAUGAGGCUCAGAGGCCAACUAGGAUGAAGACUAAGUGUGUGUGUGGUAAAAUACACAUAACAUUAAAUUUACCAUUUUUAAGUGAA
Vicugna pacos (alpaca) is the source of this 1642-nucleotide non-coding RNA. Lineage: Eukaryota; Metazoa; Chordata; Mammalia; Artiodactyla; Camelidae. The record is from RefSeq and is a predicted model, not a curated record.